UACGGAGGGUGCGAGCGUUGUCCGGAAUCACUGGGCGUAAAGGGCGCGUAGGUGGCGCGGUGAGUCAACGGUGAAAGCUCGACGCUCAACGUCGAGUCGGCCGUCGAUACUGCCGCGCUGGAGCACUGUAGAGGCUCAUGGAAUUCCGGGUGUAGCGGUGGAAUGCGUAGAGAUCCGGAAGAACACCGGUGGCGAAGGCGGUGAGCUGGGCAGUAGCUGACACUGAGGCGCGACAGCGUGGGGAGCAAACAGG
RNAcentral lists this ribosomal RNA (253 nucleotides) under uncultured bacterium. RNAcentral's name for it is "partial 16S ribosomal RNA". It matches the Rfam family "Bacterial small subunit ribosomal RNA", at positions 524 to 776 of the family's 1533-position model. The record is from RNAcentral.